This 301-nucleotide ribosomal RNA is filed under the name uncultured bacterium. RNAcentral's name for it is "partial 16S ribosomal RNA". It matches the Rfam family "Bacterial small subunit ribosomal RNA", at positions 509 to 807 of the family's 1533-position model. The record is from RNAcentral.
CAGUCGCCGCGGUAAUACGUAGGUGGCAAGCGUUGUCCGGAAUUAUUGGGCGUAAAGGGCUCGCAGACGGUUUCUUAAGUCUGAUGUGAAAGCCCCCGGCUCAACCGGGGAGGGUCAUUGGAAACUGGGAAACUUGAGUGCAGAAGAGGAGAGUGGAAUUCCACGUGUAGCGGUGAAAUGCGUAGAGAUGUGGAGGAACACCAGUGGCGAAGGCGACUCUCUGGUCUGUAACUAACGCUGAGGAGCGAAAGCGUGGGGAGCGAACAGGAUUAGAUACCCGUGUAGUCCCUGUCUCUUAUAC